Molecule: long non-coding RNA, 288 nt
Filed under: Gossypium barbadense (sea-island cotton)
Lineage: Eukaryota; Viridiplantae; Streptophyta; Magnoliopsida; Malvales; Malvaceae
Description: long non-coding RNA (GBAR_LNC018383)
Source: RNAcentral
ACGCCAUACGCAUUUGCCCGCACGUUGUUUUGUGCUCUGUGUUUCUCAAUAAAUUCCUUAUUCCUACAAAACCCCCCAAAAUUAAAGAAGGAUCAAACCGACCCUUUGCAAUUCCAAGACACAAGAACCAAGAGACAUACCACGAUGGCAACAACGACGGAGAAGCAAGCCAUGGUUGUUGGAAUCGACGACAGCGAGCACAGUACGUACGCGCUGCAGUGGAUCCUCGAUCACUUCUUUGCUCCUUUCGCUUCCAAUCCUCCUUUCAAGCUCGUCAUCGUUCAUGCC